UAAUUUCUAAGCAGCACUGGGACUGUCAUCUUCCCAGAAUGGAUUUUUCAACUUAACAGAGGGGUUUUGAAAGUUUGUUCCUGGGUCAGGCGUGGUGGCUUAUGCCUGUAAUCCCGGGACUUUUGGAGGUUGAGGCAGGAAGAUUGCCUGAGGUCAGGAGUUCGAGAUCAGCUUGGGCAACAUAGCAAGAACCCCCUCGUCUCUACCAAAAAUACAGAAGUUAGCUGGGGAUGGUGGCGCACCCCUGUGGUUCCAGCUACUAGGGAGGGAGCAGUAGGAGGAUCGCUGGAGCCCAGGAGUCUGACUGCAGUAAGCUAUGAUCAUGCCACUGCACUCUAGCCUGGGUGAUAUAGCGAGAGCUUGUCUCCAAAAAAAAAGUAAAAGGAGUUUGUUUUUCCUGUACUCUAGCGGGCCUCCCCUGCUGCUUUGCCAGGCUUUUUUCUGGGCUAUGUGUUUUGGGGGUGACAGUGGCUGGCUGAGAGCCCCCACUGUCUCCUGGCUGGCCAUGUAUCCCCGGCCGAGCCUUCUCAGUGGUUCGUCCCUGUCCAGGCAAUCCAGCACAUCGAGGGCACCCAGGAAAAGCAGGAGCUGGAGGAGGAGCAGCGGCGAGCUGUCAUCGUGAAGCCUGUCCGCAGCUGCCCGGAGGCCCCCACCUCUGACACCGCCUCCGACUCCGAGGCCUCAGACAGUGACGCCAUGGACCAGAGCCGGGAGGAGCCGUCGGGGGACGGGGAGCUUCCCUGACUACCCCCCCAGCCCUCCUCUCCCUUCUGGGGGCUGGAGGGAGCCGGGGCAGCCACAGGGAGAGACAUGGGCGAAUGAGUGAGAAAUUUUUACAAAAUUACGAUGUCAUUUGGGUCUCUUUUAUGACCUCUUUUUCAAUACUGUAAAUCGACCUUUGAACGAAGCCACUCAACCCGAGGUCCCGGGGCUGGGGUGUCGCAGAGCGUGUGGGAGCAUCGGCACCCCAGGGCGGGGCCUCGGCCCCGGGGGCUGGAGGAAGCUGACACGGAGAUGCCUGGCCUCUCUCUGCCAAAAAGCAUUUUUUCCUUUAAAUAUGUUUUUUAAGAACAGGGAAAAUUAAACAAAACCCCAGGUUAUUUCUUCCCUGCCCAGAGCCAGCCUGGGAUUGUCAGCCUUCAAUCCCCUUUCCUUCCUCUUUUUGGGUUUUCUUCUUUCUCCUUUAAGCACUUACAUGGUUGGGGGUAAGACUAGGCUGGGGCAUUCUGGGGGCCCGGAGGUCUCCGUUGCUUCUUGGUUGGGGUUUGCUGCUGCUGUGCCCCCCUCCCCCUUCCCCAUCUCGGCACUAGAAUUCGCCACUCUCCCACCCCCCAGCCCCCACCUCUGCCUCCAGGUCUCAUCUUCCACCCCAAAAAUGUCUGUCUCUCUCUUUUUGUUUUGUUUGUUGUUGGUUUUUUAUUUCUUUUUGGUUUGCUUUCUGUUUUUGUUUUGUUUUUCUUUUUUUUCUUUCUUUUUUUUUUUUUUUUACAAUUUUGAGGUCUUCGUGUUCAAGGAGAAGCUAUUAUAUUUUGUUAAGAAAGUGGGGAGAAAAAAACCAAGAGGCCACCGUGCCUUUGUAAAGAAACAAAAUAAAGUUUGUACUUUGUUUUUUA
RNAcentral lists this long non-coding RNA (1613 nucleotides) under Homo sapiens (human). Its description in RNAcentral is "non-protein coding lnc-TFAP4-1:1". The record is from RNAcentral. Lineage: Eukaryota; Metazoa; Chordata; Mammalia; Primates; Hominidae.